Molecule: ribosomal RNA, 252 nt
Filed under: uncultured bacterium
Lineage: Bacteria
Description: partial 16S ribosomal RNA
Rfam family: Bacterial small subunit ribosomal RNA
Source: RNAcentral
UACGUAGGGGGCUAGCGUUAUCCGGAAUUACUGGGCGUAAAGGGUGCGUAGGUGGUUUCUUAAGUCAGAGGUGAAAGGCUACGGCUCAACCGUAGUAAGCCUUUGAAACUGGGAAACUUGAGUGCAGGAGAGGAGAGUGGAAUUCCUAGUGUAGCGGUGAAAUGCGUAGAUAUUAGGAGGAGCACCAGUUGCGAAGGCGGCUCUCUGGACUGUAACUGACACUGAGGCACGAAAGCGUGGGGAGCAAACAGG